This 66-nucleotide transfer RNA is filed under the name Orthetrum lineostigma. RNAcentral's name for it is "tRNA-Leu". Lineage: Eukaryota; Metazoa; Arthropoda; Insecta; Odonata; Libellulidae. The record is from RNAcentral.
AAGUUAACUGUGCAAUUCAGUUUAAUUUGAUAAUUAAACCCUUACUUAAUUUAGCUUUUUUAUUUU